RNAcentral lists this ribosomal RNA (457 nucleotides) under uncultured bacterium. RNAcentral describes it as "bacterial SSU rRNA". It matches the Rfam family "Bacterial small subunit ribosomal RNA", at positions 340 to 786 of the family's 1533-position model. The record is from RNAcentral.
UACGGAAGGCAGCAGUGGGGAAUAUUGCACAAUGGGCGCAAGCCUGAUGCAGCCAUGCCGCGUGUAUGAAGAAGGCCUUCGGGUUGUAAAGUACUUUCAGCGGGGAGGAAGGCGAUGCGGUUAAUAACCGCGUCGAUUGACGUUACCCGCAGAAGAAGCACCGGCUAACUCCGUGCCAGCAGCCGCGGUAAUACGGAGGGUGCAAGCGUUAAUCGGAAUUACUGGGCGUAAAGCGCACGCAGGCGGUCUGUUUAAGUCAGAUGUGAAAUCCCCGGGCUUAACCUGGGAACUGCAUUUUGAAACUGGCAGGCUUGAGUCUUGUAGAGGGGGUAGAAUUCCAGGUGUAGCGGUGAAAUGCGUAGAGAUCUGGAGGAAUCCGGUGGCGAAGGCGGCCCCUGGGACAAAGACUGACGCUCAGGUGCGAAAGCGUGGGGAGCGAAACAGGGAUUAGGAUACC